GGACGAAGGCUUUGGAUCGCGAAUAGGAUUGGAUACCCUAGUAGUCAAAGCAGACAAUGAUGAGUGUCAUAGAUUAGAUAUAUAAGUUUAUUCUAUAAAUGAAAGUGUAAGCACUCCACCUCAAGAGUAAUUUGGCAACAUUGGAACUGAAAUCAUUAGACCGUUUCUGAAACCAGUAGUGAAGUAUGUUGUUUAAUUUGAUGAUCCGCAAAACACCUUACCACAACUUGAAUAAAAAUCCUCCUAAAGAAUAUUUUACAAGCGUUGCACGGCUGUCUACAGUUAAUGUCGUGAGACUUUGGUUAGAUCCAUUAAAUUAACGCAAGCCCUUACUUUAUUUCCAAAUAAAGUAGUUCCCCACUAUAUUGGAUAUGAUAACAGGGACUAAGACAAGUCAUCAUGGCCUGAAUGUUGUGGG
RNAcentral lists this ribosomal RNA (418 nucleotides) under Lecania croatica. RNAcentral's name for it is "SSU rRNA". It matches the Rfam family "Bacterial small subunit ribosomal RNA", at positions 751 to 1213 of the family's 1533-position model. The record is from RNAcentral. Lineage: Eukaryota; Fungi; Ascomycota; Lecanoromycetes; Lecanorales; Ramalinaceae.